UGCCAGCAGCCGCGGUAAUACGGAGGGUGCGAGCGUUGUCCGGAAUCAUUGGGCGUAAAGGGCGCGUAGGUGGCCCGGUCAGCGUGCGGUGAAAGCUCGGGGCUCAACCCCGAGUCGGCCGUGCGAACUGCUGGGCUCGAGCACUGUAGAGGCAGGCGGAAUUCCGGGUGUAGCGGUGGAAUGCGUAGAGAUCCGGAAGAACACCGGUGGCGAAGGCGGCCUGCUGGGCAGUAGCUGACACUGAGGCGCGACAGCGUGGGGAGCAAACAGGAUUAGAUACCCUGGUAGUCCACGCCGUAAACGAUGGGCACUAGGCGCUUGGGGGAGCGACCCCCCGAGGGCCGGCGCUAACGCAUUAAGUGCCCCGCCUGGGGAGUACGGCCGCAAGGCUGAAACUCAAAGGAAUUGACGGGGGCCCGCACAAGC
Molecule: ribosomal RNA, 426 nt
Filed under: uncultured bacterium
Lineage: Bacteria
Description: bacterial SSU rRNA
Rfam family: Bacterial small subunit ribosomal RNA
Source: RNAcentral